This 228-nucleotide ribosomal RNA is filed under the name Triticum aestivum (bread wheat). RNAcentral's name for it is "partial small subunit ribosomal RNA". Lineage: Eukaryota; Viridiplantae; Streptophyta; Magnoliopsida; Poales; Poaceae. The record is from RNAcentral.
AUGAGCUACCUAAGCUGGAACUGUCAGGGGCUUGGGAACCCCGCGGCAGUUCGUGAGCUUCGCAAUAUCGUGAAGCAAGAAGGGCCCAAUCUCCUGUUUGUUAUGGAGACGAAGAUUUCGGCAAAUAGAGUGGAAAGUUUGAAACUCCAGCUUGGAUUCGCGGGCUGUUUUGUAGUCAGCAGUGUCGGUCUUAGCGGGGGAAUUGGCAUGUUCUGGUCCGGAGAACUG